Molecule: ribosomal RNA, 450 nt
Filed under: uncultured bacterium
Lineage: Bacteria
Description: bacterial SSU rRNA
Rfam family: Bacterial small subunit ribosomal RNA
Source: RNAcentral
UCAAGAAACUUCCACAAUGGGCGAAAGCCUGAUGGAGCGACGUCGCGUGAUGGACGAAGUGCUUCGGCACGUAAACAUCUUUUAUGUGGGAUGAAAUUAUUGACAGUACCACAUGAAUAAGGGGCUCCUAACUCUGUGCCAGCAGGAGCGGUAAUACAGAGGCCCCAAGCGUUAUCCGGAAUCACUGGGCGUAAAGGGUGUCGAGGCGGUUGUAUUAGUCGUUCGUAAAAUCUACGAGCUUAACUUGUAGGCGGCGAACGAAACGGUACGACUUGAGGUUUGGAGAGGUGCGUGGAACUCACGGUGUAGGGGUGAAAUCCGUUGAUAUCGUGGGGAACACCAAAGGCGAAGGCAGCGCACUGGCCAAAAUCUGACGCUCACACACGAAAGCUAGGGUAGCGAAGAGGAUUAGAUACCCCCGUAGUCCCUGAGCGGGCUGGCAAGGCGCAU